RNAcentral lists this ribosomal RNA (515 nucleotides) under uncultured bacterium. RNAcentral describes it as "partial 16S ribosomal RNA". It matches the Rfam family "Bacterial small subunit ribosomal RNA", at positions 29 to 523 of the family's 1533-position model. The record is from RNAcentral.
AAUGAACGCUGGCGGCGUGCCUAACACAUGCAAGUCGAACGCGAAAGGGACUUCGGUCCUGAGUAGAGUGGCGCACGGGUGAGUAACGCGUGGGUAAUCUGCCUUAGAGUGGGGGAUAACAUUCCGAAAGGGGUGCUAAUCCCGCAUACGACAUCAUUGCUUAUGUAGUGAUGGGAAAGGGGGCCUCUGAUUCAAGCUUCCGCUCUAAGAUGAGCCCGCGUCCGAUUAGCUAGUUGGUGAGGUAAAGGCUCACCAAGGCUACGAUCGGUAACUGGUCUGAGAGAUGAUCAGUCACACUGGAACUGAGACACGGUCCAGACUCCUACGGGAGGCAGCAGUGAGGAAUAUUGCGCAAUGGGGGAAACCCUGACGCAGCGACGCCGCGUGGGUGAUGAAGGCCUUCGGGUCGUAAAGCCCUGUCGGAGGGAAAGAAAGGGUGAGUAGCUAAUACCUAUUCACAUUGACGGUACCCUCAGAGGAAGCACCGGCUAACUCCGUGCCAGCCGCCGCCGUAA